GCGAAAUGGAAACCAGUCUUCUUGGUGAGAUUGUUGCACGCUAUGGUGAUUGCUUGCUGCUUCAACGCAAGUGUUGCAGUGGGUUUUGAUCCUGACGUGUGCUUUGUUUCUUACCUCGUGUGUCAACGUCGGUUCGGAAUUGAGGAAAACUCUAGGGACAUGGUAACUCGCCUGCGGGUGAGCCAAUGUGCCUGGUAGAACUCAUUUCUUAACUGAUUUCUGCAUGUCUGGUCGCAGUGUUUCAUUACCUGUGUUCUGGUAUUGCGCUUGUGGCUCUUCUGCUGCUUGCUGCGUUGCUGGGCCUGGUCGUGGAGCAUCUCCCUGACAUUAGUACGAUGACAAAAUGGUUUCAUUCGACCCGUCUUGAAACACGGACCAAGGAGUCUAACAUAUGUGCAAGUUCAUGGGUGUUAAACCUAAUUGCGCAAUGAAAGUGACUGCUGGGAUAUUUGCACCAGCAACCGACCAAUCAAUUGUGAGAGGUUUGAGUAUGAGCAUAUCUGUUAGGACCCGAAAGAUGGUGAACUAUGCGUGAGAAGGGUGAAGUCAGGGGAAACUCUGAUGGAGGCUCGUAGCGAUACUGACGUGCAAAUCGUUCGUCAUACUUGCGUAUAGGGGCGAAAGACUAAUCGAACCAUCUAGUAGCUGGUUCCCUCCGAAGUUUCCCUCAGGAUAGCUGGAGUUGAACAGUUUUAUCAGGUAAAGCGAAUGAUUAGAGGAAUCGGGGACGCGUUGUCCUCGACCUAUUCUCAAACUUUAAAUGGGUAAGAUCCAGUGGUUACUUGGGUGAACUUCUGGGAUAAAUGACAACUCUAAGUGGGCCAUUUUUGGUAAGCAGAACUGGCGAUGAGGGAUGAACCUAACGUUGGGUUAAGGUGCUCAACUACUCGCUCAUCAGAUACCAUAAAGGGUGUUGGUUCAUAUAACAGCAGAGACGGAGUCAUCAAGUCGAAAUUCUUAUGCGG
This 965-nucleotide ribosomal RNA is filed under the name Karlodinium zhouanum. RNAcentral's name for it is "partial large subunit ribosomal RNA". It matches the Rfam family "Eukaryotic large subunit ribosomal RNA", at positions 419 to 1276 of the family's 3401-position model. The record is from RNAcentral. Lineage: Eukaryota; Dinophyceae; Gymnodiniales; Kareniaceae.